This 1020-nucleotide ribosomal RNA is filed under the name uncultured soil eukaryote. RNAcentral describes it as "SSU rRNA". It matches the Rfam family "Eukaryotic small subunit ribosomal RNA", at positions 7 to 1208 of the family's 1831-position model. The record is from RNAcentral.
GUUGAUUCUGCCAGUAGUCAUAUGCUUGUCUCAAAGAUUAAGCCAUGCAUGUCUAAGUAUAAGCAAUCAUACUGUAAAACUGCGAAUGGCUCAUUAAAUCAGUUAUCGUUUAUUUUCAUUCAAAUUUCUGCCCUAUCAACUUUCGAUGGUAGGGUCUUGGCCUACCAUGGUUUCGACGGGUAACGGGGGAUUAGGGUUCGACUCCGGAGAGGGAGCCUGAGAAACGGCUACCACAUCCAAGGAAGGCAGCAGGCGCGCAAAUUACCCAAUUCCGACACGGAGAGGUAGUGACAAGAAAUAUUGAUGCGGGGCCCUUCGGGUCUUGUAAUCGGAAUGAGAACAAUUUAAAACACUUAACGAGGAACAAUUGGAGGGCAAGUCUGGUGCCAGCAGCCGCGGUAAUUCCAGCUCCAAUAGCGUAUAUUAAAAUUGUUGCAGUUAAAACGCUCGUAGUUGAACUUUGGAUCUGGCUGGCCGGUCCGCCUCACCGCGUGCACUGGUCCGGCCGGGUCUUUCCUCCUGGGGAUCCGCAUGCCCUUUACUGGGCGUGUUGGGGAACCAGGACUUUUACUUUGAAAAAAUUAGAGUGUUCAAAGCAGGCCUUUGCCCGGAUACAUUAGCAUGGAAUAAUAGAAUAGGACGUGCGGUUCUAUUUUGUUGGUUUCUAGAAUCGCCGUAAUGAUUAAUAGGGACGGUUGGGGGUUCUGGUAUUCAAUUGUCAGAGGUGAAAUUCUUGGAUUUAUUGAAGACCAACUGCUGCGAAAGCGUUAACCAAAGACGUUUUCAUUAAUCAGUGAACGAAAGUUAGGGGAUCGAAGACGAUCAGAUACCGUCGUAGUCUUAACCAUAAACUGUGCCAACUGGGGAUCGGACGAUGUUAUCAUCUUGACUCGUUCGGCACCCUACGAGAAAUCAAAGUGAGGUUCUGGGGGGAGUAUGGUCGCAAGGCUGAAACUUAAAGAAAUUGACGGAAGGGCACCACCAGGCGUGGAGCCUGCGGCUUAAUUUGACCCAACACGG